AAUAUUUAUUAUAUGCCUUCAUAAUAAAGUACAUUUCAUGUUAUUUCAAAUAAUCUUCACAACAACUCUCUGAGGUUAACACAAGGCAUACGAAAAUUCAACUGGUAAGUGACAGACAGGACCAAUUACCUAAUUGACUAUGCAAAGACAAAUAUGUAAUUUGCAGAUUUUAGUUGUGCACAGUACAAAUAAUCCUCAUUUUAAAAGUUAUUAAGAAUUUCAUGUUGGUUACAGAGAAGCAUUUAAGGCCUCCGGAGGCCUUCAGAGAGCCGGGUCUGUGUGACUGCACAGGUCUCACGUCCAUGAAGCCGGCCCUGGUGACAGAGCUGGGAUAUGAACCUCGCAGUCUGGCUCCAGAGCCUGAGUCCUUAAGUGCAAAGCAACCCUUCCUUCCUGCGCAGGACACAGUUUACUAUCCACCUCUGGGCCCCUCCUCAUCUGUAUCUUCAUCCCUUGAUUCUGGCCAAAGGCACCGAUUUGAUGAUUCUCUGCUGCCCUCUUGUGGGCAGAGUCCAUGCAGCCACACCUGCUUCGGGGAUGGGGCCAGGUCUGCACCCCAGGCCGAGACUCCCCACCACGUCCCCAAACAGUGUGACCAUGCCUGAGCUGACACAUCCAGGGACGGCAUUCAGAGUAAUCUCUCGGCUCUUGCAGCCUCUGGAGUCCUAGCCAUGCAGGGGCUGCUUGGGUGGGAGCUUCCCAAAUCUUAUUCCUCCUUCAAACUGAGACUAAACUCCUUCAGGCCCAAGUGGUCUCCCAGCCUCUAAGACAGAACUAAUCCAGUUCCCGCACCUGGGAAGUGCUCAGGAAGCUCCACUCACAUAGCAUUUCUCUGCAAAGCGUCUGUCCUCUGCCUCUCACCUGGGCGGGUCUAAGACUCCUAUCAAGUCUCCUGCCUCUGUUCUCCACCCUACAGGGCCAGAGUGAUGCAUCUGAACGGCCACAACUGUCAUCACCUCUCUGUACACGCACCCUUUGUGAUGCGAUUCUGCAGGUCCACUCAUUCAGUCUGGGCUGGCCUCUUUGACUUGCUUUGACAGUAAAAUGUGGGGGAAGUGAUGGUGUGCCAGUUGUCAGCUCGGGACUCAAGAGGCUUUGCGUGUGUCUACUUGCUCUCUUGAGUCCACAUGACUGCCAAGUGAACAAGCCAGGCUAGCCUUCUGGAGAAUGAGACACCACAUGGAGGGGAGCCAUCUCGGGAGAGGCUGUCUCAGAACAGCCAGCCUCCAGCUGACCCACAGCUGCAGAUGCGUGGAUGAACCCAAUCAAGAUCAGCUGAGCCUGGUCCAGAUGAGCAGAACUGUGGAAGGCAGGGCCGACCAUGUGCCAGACACUCAUCUAGACUCUGGAGACAUACAGAGAAGUAAGUGGUUGUGCCUCCUGUCUGAAAAGUUGCCGGCCCCUGAAAGUUCAUGUCAACAAACUGUGACAGGAACCACUUUUCACUCCCCAGUGGAAAGUUCAAACAGUCUCUGAGACUCGUCCAGAGACGAAGACCUCCAGUCCUCCUGGCUUCCCUCAGCCUCUGCUUGGCAGCAGGACCCUGUGUUGGUGCCACCUGGCGGCCACAGUGCCCAUAUUCUAUUGUAAUCAGCUUCCUUUGUUGCUAAGAUACACUGUCAGCUCAGAGAAGGGGAGAGGGAACCUGGAAUGGGGAGAAAUGCUCUGCUCAGCAGACAUACCCACCUGCUCAGCCAGCUUAGAGGUGCUCUAUGAAUUCCACCCCCGGGUCUGUAUGUCCUCACUCUGCAGGAACUGAGUCCUAAAUCCCCAUAACUUGAGCCCAAGAGAAUAAUGAUAGCCCAUGGGACAGAGAACCCCUUCUCUAUGGGUCUCAUUCCAUGGUUUCCACAACAUCCCUCCCCACCUUUCUCAGCAGAUGAUGGAAUCCAGGGUGAGGAAGCUAUGGGAAGGGAGGCAUUGACCAGCAUCUUCCCCAUAUCCUUCUUGUCCUCCUCCUAAGAGAACCCUGAUUCUGUCAGAGAAGCAAUGUACUCAAGUUACAAAUUCUUACCCCGCCCCCCAGAGUCCCUUACAGCUAGAAGUUGCCAUGUUACAAAGAUCAGGCCAGUGAGAUGUAGGCAAACAUGCGGGUGUUCUAGAAAAAUCUAGUCUUCUCCAGAGUAAAGAGGCACAGACUCACCUGGCUUCUGCCUUUUUCCCUCUCUCUUUUUUUCCCUUCCUCCUGCCUGAAAGGUGGGCAAGAUGUCUGCAAGUGGAUUAGCCAUUUUCUCUCCAUGAGCAUGAGAACCACAUGCUAUGGAUGGUGGAACAAGAAGCUAGAAGGAUUCCAAAUUUUUCACAACUUUCUUAAGCAUCUCCAGAGCGUUCCCAGGUUUCUGUGCAUGUCCAGGCAGAGACCCUCACUAAAGUCCUUCUCCAGAACCAAGGGCACCUCUCUCUCUUCUUCCUGCUGAAGAACACCUCUCUCCCUGAUACAUUGCCUGCGUGUUACACAAAAUGAGAAAACCCCAUUCGUUGAGACCAUAGUUAGAUGUGUUACAUGCAGCCACUUGUCAUCCGUACACAUAUGUGCUGUGUGUGUAAUCUUUUUGGUUCUUGAUAGUGAGCCCGUAUGGACCCUAUUUCUGGCACAAGGAACAAGAAAGCAUGGGAUUGGGGUGUGCUUGGAGGAAGCCAGUAAAGGUAUUUCCCCUGGGAGACAGGAAAACUCUGUUCAAGAUUAACUCUCUCUUACUACGUGACAUAGGACAUGUCAUUUCUUCCUAGUACA
Molecule: non-coding RNA, 2734 nt
Organism: Equus caballus (horse)
Lineage: Eukaryota; Metazoa; Chordata; Mammalia; Perissodactyla; Equidae
Source: RefSeq, a predicted model, not a curated record